GAUGAACGCUGGCGGCGUGCCUAAUACAUGCAAGUCGAGCGAACAGACGAGGAGCUUGCUCCUCUGACGUUAGCGGCGGACGGGUGAGUAACACGUGGAUAACCUACCUAUAAGACUGGGAUAACUUCGGGAAACAGGAGCUAAUACCGGAUAAUAUCUUGAACCGCAUGGAUCAAUAGUGAAAGACGGUUUUCCUGUCACUUAUAGAUUGAUCCGCGCCGCAUUAGCUAGUUGGUAAGGUAACUGCUUACCAAGGCAACGAUGCGUAGCCGAGCUGAGAGGGUGAUCGGCAAGACUGGAACUGAGACACGGUUCAGACUCCUACGGGAGGCAGCAGUAGGGAAUCUUCCGCAAUGGGCGAAAGCCUGACGGAGCAACGCCGCGUGAGUGAUGAAGGUCUUCGGAUCGUAAAACUCUGUUAUUAGGGAAGAACAAAUGUGUAAGUAACUAUGCACGUUUUGACGGUACCUAAUCAGAAAGCCACGGCUAACUACGUGCCAGCCGCCGCGGUAA
This 513-nucleotide ribosomal RNA is filed under the name uncultured bacterium. Its description in RNAcentral is "partial 16S ribosomal RNA". It matches the Rfam family "Bacterial small subunit ribosomal RNA", at positions 28 to 523 of the family's 1533-position model. The record is from RNAcentral.